GUUUUAAUAAUUUAUAUAAAAUAUUGGUCUUGUAAACCAAAAAUAAGCUAGUCUUUUAAAACU
Molecule: transfer RNA, 63 nt
Filed under: Dorcus hirticornis
Lineage: Eukaryota; Metazoa; Arthropoda; Insecta; Coleoptera; Lucanidae
Description: tRNA-Thr
Source: RNAcentral